CGCCUCUUGAAUCAGUAUAAGAGGUCCAGCCUGCCCAGUGACCCUGUUCACGGCCGCGGUAUCCUAACCGUGCGAAGGUAGCGUAAUCACUUGUUCUUUAAAUGAGGACUAGUAUGAACGGCAUCACGAAGGUUAUACUGUCUCCUUUUUCUAAUCAGUGAAUCUAAUCUCCCCGUGAAGAAGCGGGAAUAUAACUAUAAGACGAGAAGACCCUAUGGAGCUUAAAACAACACAGCACUUGUCAAAAAACUAAACAAUUCCAGAAUUUUUAAUUUCUAGGCAACAUGACUAUAAGUUUUUGGUUGGGGUGACCGCGGAGUAUAAUAUAACCUCCAUGUUGAAAGAAUUUUAUUCUAAGCCAAAAAGUACAUUUUUAAGCAUCAAUAAAUUGACAUCUAUUGACCCAAUAUACUUGAACAACGAACCAAGUUACCCUAGGGAUAACAGCGCAAUCCACUUCAAGAGCUCCUAUCGACAAGUGGGUUUACGACCUCGAUGUUGGAUCAGGGUUUCCCAGUGGUGCAGCCGCUACUAAAGGUUCGUUUGUUCAACGAUUAAAACCCU
This 564-nucleotide ribosomal RNA is filed under the name Peltophryne fustiger. RNAcentral's name for it is "partial 16S ribosomal RNA". It matches the Rfam family "Bacterial large subunit ribosomal RNA", at positions 1832 to 2597 of the family's 2925-position model. The record is from RNAcentral. Lineage: Eukaryota; Metazoa; Chordata; Amphibia; Anura; Bufonidae.